GUGGGGAAUAUUGGACAAUGGGCGCAAGCCUGAUCCAGCCAUGCCGCGUGAGUGAUGAAGGCCUUAGGGUUGUAAAGCUCUUUUGUCCGGGACGAUAAUGACGGUACCGGAAGAAUAAGCCCCGGCUAACUUCGUGCCAGCAGCCGCGGUAAUACGAAGGGGGCUAGCGUUGCUCGGAAUCACUGGGCGUAAAGGGCGCGUAGGCGGCCUAGUAAGUUGGGGGUGAAAGCCCGUGGCUCAACCACGGAAUUGCCUUCGAUACUGCUUGGCUUGAGUGUGGUAGAGGUUGGUGGAACUGCGAGUGUAGAGGUGAAAUUCGUAGAUAUUCGCAAGAACACCGGUGGCGAAGGCGGCCAACUGGACCAUCACUGACGCUGAGGCGCGAAAGCGUGGGGAGCAAACAGG
RNAcentral lists this ribosomal RNA (405 nucleotides) under uncultured Methylobacterium sp. RNAcentral's name for it is "bacterial SSU rRNA". It matches the Rfam family "Bacterial small subunit ribosomal RNA", at positions 354 to 776 of the family's 1533-position model. The record is from RNAcentral. Lineage: Bacteria; Pseudomonadati; Pseudomonadota; Alphaproteobacteria; Hyphomicrobiales; Methylobacteriaceae.